Molecule: long non-coding RNA, 2451 nt
Organism: Oxyura jamaicensis (ruddy duck)
Lineage: Eukaryota; Metazoa; Chordata; Aves; Anseriformes; Anatidae
Exons: 2
Source: RefSeq, a predicted model, not a curated record
CAGCAGCAGGUGCCCGAACCGCUCCGCACCGCGCCGCGCCGCAGCCCCGCGCAGAAGUACUUCUGUGGGUAUGGAGAAAAUGUGUGAACUGUCCAUCUCAUGGUAACUAGCCAUGACCUAGUUGUUGACAGUUUGAGCACAGUCUGUAGAACGCCUUGAAUGUUUCACCCAUGCUUAAAGAAAAGCACCAACUGGGAGAUAAUCUGGAGGAAUAAAAAAAAACAAUGGAAUGAUCCUGAAGAACCCAGGAAUCUCUGAAGAACCACUUUAGAACCAGUUACUGUCCUGCUCAGACAAUGAGAGGGUUGCUUGUCUCAGUCCAGAAAAAAUACAGAAAGACCAAAAUAAACUGGUUUUUACCUUAGAGGAGCAAGUUUAAAUCUAAGAAGUACUGAACUAGAUCUAGAUCUCUAGAAACUAAAAUACAAUUUAGCCACAAAGCAGUUUAAAUCACGAGCAACAGCAUUACCUACCCUGCAUUACAUUGGCAGUGAGCUUUAAUCCUGUUUAAAGGAAAGCACCACUGGAAACUCAGUCUGACUAGACAUUUAACUUUAGCUCCACUUAUGAAAAAAGCUUCUAAGGGGGGCAAGCAUGAGCUUUUCUGAAAACAAGUACAGAAAAAUCUACUAGAAGCCUUUUUUUUUUUUCCUUCAAGAGAAGAAUUUAUCAAGAGUUCAGCUAGCUGUGUAGAAAACCCACCCUUUCACAGACUACUUGCCUUUUGAUUUAAUACUUCUUGAGUACAAGAUACAAGGUCUGGCCUGUAACUGGAUAACUUAUAUGAAAUGCAGUUUGUUCGCUGCUAUAUUAGUUUAUGAAAGAUAAACAGAAAAAAGCAAUUCAGGGAUUCAUAUAUGGCCACAUAAACCCAAGAUACUCCUCUUCCCAAGCAUCUAGUGGAAUUCUGUACGAAGUCUGAAGAUGUGUGAAAAUGAGAUUUAGAGUAAAAAUAGCUCUUGCUGAUCCAUACUGCGCACUAUCCACAACCAUCUCAUUUUCUGUUGUAAGAGAGAUUUGCAUGUGUUUAUGGAGAUUUGCUUACGGUGUCACCUUCAGCUUCCACAGCAAGCAAUUAAGGUAUCUCAAAGAGCAGACUGAGUUCAGUGAAAGAGUACACAGCAGGAGCAGAUGAACUGUUAGGGUCCCACGCAGCAGAAAUGAUCUGUCAUUCCACACCCUGUGGAAUAAGAAAGGCCGCAGGGACUUGCUGGGCCACGUACCUGCCAGCACAGGUUGUACAAGCAGAGGAAGGACGGCAAAUGGCACAGACGAUCUGCUUCAGAUGGCCAUGCAGAGCAGCACCAGGCCAAAGGAAUUCUCUCGUGAUCACUUGUGGUUGUAGGAGAAAGAAGGGGCGCUGAGGGUAAAACCCAGCCAGUAACAUGGACCCUUACAGAGUGCUUGCUGGGUGCAUACCCGAGAACAGCCGCCAGGUAGACAUUUGCAAGUAUUCAUAUCCAAACAUUCUCUAAUUUUAGUUGCUCAAAUUAAACCAGAUUGCUUCCUAAGGUUAAUCAUACGCUCCUUCCUAUAGAGAAAUAGUUCUGAUUUUUUACUUUCAGAUCUCGCUUCUGGCCAGAGAAUAUCAAACAAAUUAAGCUUAGCUUUUUCCCUGUAUUGUAAUGUGUUUUGAAAUGUUCACAAAGGCUGUGAUAAAAUGUUGAAAUAAAAAUUCACCUUUUGCAGUUACCAUCAUGGCAAAUCUCAGUCUCAGAAGACAGAAAUUUUGAUGGAUAUGGGUAACUGUAAACAGAAGGUUAAAAGAGAAACUGUUAGAUGAUCUUAACCAAAGUGGAGAGUGCAGCAGUAAAUGAAUAUGAAACUGCUGACCUUGAAGGAUCACUGGGCUGCAUGGAUAUUGGGUUUUGUAAGUUUUCCAUGAACGACACAGUUUAUUAACAUAACAUGGGUGAUGUUGUCUGCUGCUUUUUAUUGGCUGCCUGCAGCCUUUGACUUCUAGUCUCCCAUUUAUAUAUGACAUAGGAUAAUGUUAGAAGUGGGAAAAAUGUUAGCUCAAUGCCAAAGAUAUUUGAAAGCACCAUCCUUGAGACAAUUAUUAAACAUUCUACUAUAUACAACCAUAAUUGUCCUUAAGUCCAAAGCGCUGUCAAGCUUUUCUGUCUUCUUUAUUUUAAAGUAAUGUUGGGUUUCAGUCUUGCCUUGAGAGACUGCUUUACAGCUAGAUCUCUAUUGUAUUUACUGGUAGCAUGAAAGCUAAUGCCUGGAUAGGAUAUUAGCAGGUUUUCUUUCAGUAACAAAAAACUCCAAAGUGAGCAAUGAUGCCAAAGUCAGAGCCUGACCCGUUUUCCUUGUCAGACACUUCUGUCAAAACAUGUGCAUUGUUACAAAUAACUAACUCACAGUGAGACUUAGUCGCUAUUCAAAUAGGUAAUUGUAUUUUAACAGGGCAAAAUCCCAACCCAAGCAGCCAGAGAACACUCAGCUAAA